AUAUUCCUGGGUUAUGCGUCAGGGAAUCAUAAUUGAACCUACACUUCUAAAUCGGGAAUUCGGAGUUUUCAAAGCGUUAUGUCAUGCCUCAUUAUCAGAGGAAGACAGAGGCGAGAAACAGAGUACCCACCUAUCUUUUGAUAGGGCGUCAAUUAUCUCCCCAACGGUAACCCGGGGUAUU
Molecule: non-coding RNA, 181 nt
Filed under: Bacillota bacterium
Lineage: Bacteria; Bacillati; Bacillota
Also listed under: 2 other names
Description: 6S RNA
Rfam family: 6S / SsrS RNA
About the family: E. coli 6S RNA was the first non coding RNA to be sequenced, but its function was unknown until recently. It consists of 184 nucleotides that fold into an extended hairpin structure with a large single-stranded internal bulge.
Source: RNAcentral